GGAGAGGUGGCCGAGCGGAUGAAGGCAGCUGCCUGCUAAGCAGUUGUACCAGAAAUGGUACCCAGGGUUCGAAUCCCUGCCUCUCCG
RNAcentral lists this transfer RNA (87 nucleotides) under Candidatus Zixiibacteriota bacterium. RNAcentral describes it as "candidate division Zixibacteria bacterium tRNA-Ser". It matches the Rfam family "tRNA". Rfam says of the family: Transfer RNA (tRNA) molecules are approximately 80 nucleotides in length. Their secondary structure includes four short double-helical elements and three loops (D, anti-codon, and T loops). The record is from RNAcentral. Lineage: Bacteria; Pseudomonadati; Candidatus Zixiibacteriota.